UUGGGAGCUCACUAGCUUUGGAGUCAUGGAAACUUCGAAGUUAAGCGAGUUGGGGCUAGAGCAAUCACAGGAUGGGUGACCCACUGGGAAGUUGCUCGUUAGUUCCCAGA
This 110-nucleotide ribosomal RNA is filed under the name Prunus persica (peach). The record is from RNAcentral. Lineage: Eukaryota; Viridiplantae; Streptophyta; Magnoliopsida; Rosales; Rosaceae.